This 352-nucleotide unclassified non-coding RNA is filed under the name soil metagenome. RNAcentral describes it as "partial contains 5.8S ribosomal RNA, internal transcribed spacer 2, and large subunit ribosomal RNA". The stretch from base 1 to 120 matches the Rfam family "5.8S ribosomal RNA", at positions 35 to 154 of the family's 154-position model. The record is from RNAcentral.
GAUGAAGAACGUAGCGAAAUGCGAUAAGUAAUGUGAAUUGCAGAAUUCAGUGAAUCAUCGAAUCUUUGAACGCACAUUGCGCCCGCCAGUAUUCUGGCGGGCAUGCCUGUUCGAGCGUCAUUACAACCCUCAGGCCCCCGGGCCUGGCGUUGGGGAUCGGCGGAGCCCCCCGUGGGCACACGCCGUCCCCCAAAUGCAGUGGCGGUCCCGCCGCAGCUUCCAUCGCGUAGUAGCUAACACCUCGCGACUGGAGAGCGGCGCGGCCACGCCGUAAAACACCCAACUCUUCUGAAGUUGACCUCGAAUCAGGUAGGAAUACCCGCUGAACUUUAGCAUAUCAAUAAGCGGAGGA